This 253-nucleotide ribosomal RNA is filed under the name uncultured bacterium. Its description in RNAcentral is "partial 16S ribosomal RNA". It matches the Rfam family "Bacterial small subunit ribosomal RNA", at positions 524 to 776 of the family's 1533-position model. The record is from RNAcentral.
UACGUAGGGUGCGAGCGUUGUCCGGAAUUAUUGGGCGUAAAGAGCUCGUAGGCGGUGUGUCGCGUCGGUCGUGAAAACUCAGGGCUUAACCCUGAGCCUGCUUCCGAUACGGGCAGACUAGAGGUAUGCAGGGGAGAAUGGAAUUCCUGGUGUAGCGGUGAAAUGCGCAGAUAUCAGGAGGAACACCGGUGGCGAAGGCGGUUCUCUGGGCAUUACCUGACGCUGAGGAGCGAAAGUGUGGGGAGCGAACAGG